UACGAGGGGGGCAAGCGUUGUUCGGAAUUAUUGGGCGUAAAGGGCGCGUAGGCGGUGCGGUAAGUCACCUGUGAAAACUCUGGGCUCAACUCAGAGCCUGCAGGCGAAACUGCCGUGCUUGAGUGUGGGAGAGGUGCGUGGAAUUCCCGGUGUAGCGGUGAAAUGCGUAGAUAUUGGGAGGAACACCAGUGGCGAAGGCGGCUACCUGGACCGGUUCUGACGCUGAGGCGCGAAAGCGUGGGUAGCAAACAGG
Molecule: ribosomal RNA, 253 nt
Filed under: uncultured bacterium
Lineage: Bacteria
Description: partial 16S ribosomal RNA
Rfam family: Bacterial small subunit ribosomal RNA
Source: RNAcentral